AUUGAACGCUGGCGGCAGGCCUAACACAUGCAAGUCGAACGAGUGGCGGACGGGUGAGUAAUGUCUGGGAAACUGCCCGAUGGAGGGGGAUAACUACUGGAAACGGUAGCUAAUACCGCAUACCAUCGGAUGUGCCCAGGUGGGAUUAGCUAGUAGGUGGGGUAACGGCUCACCUCGGCGACGAUCCCUAGCUGUGCUGAGAGGAUGACCAGCCACACUGGAACGGCGACACGGUCCAGACUCCUACGGGAGGCAGCAGUGGGGAAUAUUGCACAAUGGGCGCAAGCCUGAUGCAGCCAUGCCGCGUGUAUGAAGAAGGCCUUCGGGUUGUAAAGUACUUUCAGCGGGGAGGCGUUACCCGCAGAAGAAGCACCGGCUAACUCCGUGCCAGCAGCCGCGGUAAUAC
RNAcentral lists this ribosomal RNA (406 nucleotides) under uncultured bacterium. RNAcentral's name for it is "partial 16S ribosomal RNA". It matches the Rfam family "Bacterial small subunit ribosomal RNA", at positions 30 to 526 of the family's 1533-position model. The record is from RNAcentral.